GGAAGAUGUCUCACCCUAACUCUUCCCUCUUCCCUAGACCCUGCUUGGUUCCACCCUGAGCAGGAACCAUCUGUUUGUGGCGGGAAAGGUCCUCCUGGGCCUUGUUCAGGCCAACCACAUGGACGAGGCCAAAUUCAUCCGUACCUAUAAUGACUUUGUGGACUACCUGAGUGACCCCUCCAAGCGGAAUGACAUUGCGAGGGAGCUGGCUGAGGCAAAGGUGAGUUCAUUAACUCUUUCAAGUCUCACUGAGUUCUUCCACAUGCAUGUCUUUUAUACAUCACAGUAGCUGAUCUAUAUGAAAUCAUUCCUAUUUUCUCCAAACGUGUUUUCUUGUCCUAGAUCCAUCAUGUGAACAUGAUAGAUGUCCUCUUUGAGCUGGUGCUGUUUAGGAUGAUGACAGCUCAGAAGUCCCUGAUGGUGGUAAGUAGCAUCUCACUGGAACAUGUUUUGAUAUCGCUCUAUUAGCAGUUUCACUUAAAUUCCUCAUCUCUUCUAUUCUCUUUUCUCCUCCUUUGUUUCCUUUAGCACCAUGGUGGGUUCGUGGAGCGUCUGUACGCUCUCCUGUACUCCUUCCUGCCCACUGCUGCCAACAUGGAGCCAGAGGCUGAUAGAUACCUACUGCUGCUCAAUGUAAGAGUCAAGAGGUUACUUCCUGUUUACUUCCAUAUUCUUAGUGUACUUCCUUUUGACUUCCUUAUUCAUGGUUAACCAGGUUUCAAUGCCAUUUUAGGGGGAGUAUUUCUAAUUGUCUCUCUCCUCUUGAUAAGCUAGUAACUCAGAUCCCAUUUUCUAUGUGUUGUGUGGU
Molecule: long non-coding RNA, 808 nt
Filed under: Oncorhynchus kisutch (coho salmon)
Lineage: Eukaryota; Metazoa; Chordata; Actinopteri; Salmoniformes; Salmonidae
Description: lncRNA (ENSOKIG00005041687.1)
Source: RNAcentral